GAGAUGCGAUAAGUAAUGUGAAUUGCAGAAUUCAGUGAAUCAUCGAAUCUUUGAACGCACAUUGCGCCCGGCAGCAAUCUGCCGGGCAUGCCUGUCCGAGCGUCAUUUCUGCCCUCGAGCGCGGUUCGGCCCCUAGCGGGCCGGCCGCCGCCCGGUGUUGGGGCGCUGCGGGCCCUCGUGCCCGCAGGCCCUGAAAUGAAGUGGCGGUCCCGCCGCGGCGCCCCCUGCGUAGUAGUAAAGCACCUCGCAUCGGGUCCCGGCGGAGGCCAGCCGUCGAACCUCUCUUUUGAUGGUUUGACCUCGGAUCAGGUAGGGUUACCCGCUGAACUUAAGC
RNAcentral lists this unclassified non-coding RNA (334 nucleotides) under plant metagenome. RNAcentral's name for it is "partial contains 5.8S ribosomal RNA, internal transcribed spacer 2, and large subunit ribosomal RNA". The stretch from base 1 to 105 matches the Rfam family "5.8S ribosomal RNA", at positions 50 to 154 of the family's 154-position model. The record is from RNAcentral.